Molecule: ribosomal RNA, 305 nt
Filed under: uncultured bacterium
Lineage: Bacteria
Description: bacterial SSU rRNA
Rfam family: Bacterial small subunit ribosomal RNA
Source: RNAcentral
UUGCCUACGGGACGCAGCAGUGAGGAAUAUUGGUCAAUGGGCGAGAGCCUGAACCAGCCAAGUCGCGUGAGGGAAGACGGUCCUAUGGAUUGUAAACCUCUUUUGCCGGGGAGCAAAAAGCGGUACGUGUACCGCAUCGAGAGUACCCGGAGAAAAAGCAUCGGCUAACUCCGUGCCAGCAGCCGCGGUAAUACGGAGGAUGCGAGCGUUAUCCGGAUUUAUUGGGUUUAAAGGGUGCGUAGGCGGAAUAUCAAGUCAGCGGUAAAAAUUCGGGGCUCAACCCCGUCGUGCCGUUGAAACUGAUG